This 291-nucleotide long non-coding RNA is filed under the name Ananas comosus (pineapple). RNAcentral describes it as "long non-coding RNA (ACOM_LNC034422)". The record is from RNAcentral. Lineage: Eukaryota; Viridiplantae; Streptophyta; Magnoliopsida; Poales; Bromeliaceae.
CUUUUGGAGCUUAAUUAGUUGGUUUAGAACUUCCUUGGGCUUGGAUUGGGAGGAACUUUGCUCUCUUUUGGAGCUUGAGAGAGAUUUUCCACACAUUAGGUGACUUUUAGCCCUUUUGUUAAAUUUGUUAGAGUUUGAUCUUAUAGUCGAUCGUAAUGCCCGUGUAUCAUGUCGCUCAAUACUUUUAGGGUAUUUUGAGACUCGGGGACAACUUUGUUCGGCGAAUCGAGGCCCACGCGACGGUUCGGUGGGUUUGACCUAGCCACACAAUGAGAAAUUCUCAUUUGUGAU